RNAcentral lists this long non-coding RNA (366 nucleotides) under Triticum aestivum (bread wheat). RNAcentral's name for it is "long non-coding RNA (TAES_LNC004141)". Lineage: Eukaryota; Viridiplantae; Streptophyta; Magnoliopsida; Poales; Poaceae. The record is from RNAcentral.
CCAUCAGAAAUCAGAACGAUCAUGUUUCUUCUGCCCUUGAUAAUUUACACGUACGGCACAUUCGUACUCUCAUACUUUUCCCCGGUAAAAUUCACACAGCACAUGAUGCUGCAUCGCGCGCAUCGCACGCAGCUGAUCCAUCAACAGCCGACGGCGGCGGACGGGCAAUCAACGGCCAGCUCACAGGCUGGGCACCCUCUCGGCGGCGCCGGAGAUGACGGUGAGCAGGUUGUUGCCGAAGGGGUCGCUGAGGUGCGCGCACAGGUUCUCAAAGGGGCCCUCGCCGGUGACGUAGGCCUGGAUGAAGAAGCCCAGCAUGGAGAACAUGGCCAGCCGUCCGUUCUUGAUCUCCUUCACCUUGAGCAG